This 253-nucleotide ribosomal RNA is filed under the name uncultured bacterium. Its description in RNAcentral is "partial 16S ribosomal RNA". It matches the Rfam family "Bacterial small subunit ribosomal RNA", at positions 524 to 776 of the family's 1533-position model. The record is from RNAcentral.
UACGGAGGAUCCAAGCGUUAUCCGGAAUCAUUGGGCGUAAAGGGCGCGUAGGUGGCGGGACAAGCGUGCGGUGAAAGCCUGGGGCUCAACCCCGGGUCGGCCGUGCGAACUGUUUUGCUUGAGCACUGUAGAGGCAGGCGGAAUUCCGGGUGUAGCGGUGGAAUGCGUAGAGAUCCGGAAGAACACCGGUGGCGAAGGCGGCCUGCUGGGCAGUAGCUGACACUGAGGCGCGACAGCGUGGGGAGCAAACAGG